GGGACACGUGGUAUCCUGUCUGAAUAUGGGGGGACCAUCCUCCAAGGCUAAAUACUCCUGACUGACCGAUAGUGAACCAGUACCGUGAGGGAAAGGCGAAAAGAACCCCGGCGAGGGGAGUGAAAAAGAACCUGAAACCGUGUACGUACAAGCAGUGGGAGCACGCUUAGGCGUGUGACUGCGUACCUUUUGUAUAAUGGGUCAGCGACUUAUAUUCUGUAGCAAGGUUAACCGAAUAGGGGAGCCGAAGGGAAACCGAGUCUUAACUGGGCGUUAAGUUGCAGGGUAUAGACCCGAAACCCGGUGAUCUAGCCAUGGGCAGGUUGAAGGUUGGGUAACACUAACUGGAGGACCGAACCGACUAAUGUUGAAAAAUUAGCGGAUGACUUGUGGCUGGGGGUGAAAGGCCAAUCAAACCGGGAGAUAGCUGGUUCUCCCCGAAAGCUAUUUAGGUAGCGCCUCGUGAAUUCAUCUCCGGGGGUAGAGCACUGUUUCGGCAAGGGGGUCAUCCCGACUUACCAACCCGAUGCAAACUGCGAAUACCGGAGAAUGUUAUCACGGGAGACACACGGCGGGUGCUAACGUCCGUCGUGAAGAGGGAAACAACCCAGACCGCCAGCUAAGGUCCCAAAGUCAUGGUUAAGUGGGAAACGAUGUGGGAAGGCCCAGACAGCCAGGAUGUUGGCUUAGAAGCAGCCAUCAUUUAAAGAAAGCGUAAUAGCUCACUGGUCGAGUCGGCCUGCGCGGAAGAUGUAACGGGGCUAAACCAUGCACCGAAGCUGCGGCAGCGACGCUUAUGCGUUGUUGGGUAGGGGAGCGUUCUGUAAGCCUGCGAAGGUGUGCUGUGAGGCAUGCUGGAGGUAUCAGAAGUGCGAAUGCUGACAUAAGUAACGAUAAAGCGGGUGAAAAGCCCGCUCGCCGGAAGACCAAGGGUUCCUGUCCAACGUUAAUCGGGGCAGGGUGAGUCGACCCCUAAGGCGAGGCCGAAAGGCGUAGUCGAUGGGAAACAGGUUAAUAUUCCUGUACUUGGUGUUACUGCGAAGGG
This 1045-nucleotide ribosomal RNA is filed under the name Escherichia coli. RNAcentral describes it as "partial 23S ribosomal RNA". It matches the Rfam family "Bacterial large subunit ribosomal RNA", at positions 419 to 1468 of the family's 2925-position model. The record is from RNAcentral. Lineage: Bacteria; Pseudomonadati; Pseudomonadota; Gammaproteobacteria; Enterobacterales; Enterobacteriaceae.